UGGGGAAUAUCGCACAAUGGGCGCAAGCCUGAUGCAGCCAUGCCGCGUGUGUGAAGAAGGCCUUCGGGUUGUAAAGCACUUUCAGCGGGGAGGAAGGCGUUAAGGUUAAUAACCUUGGCGAUUGACGUUACCCGCAGAAGAAGCACCGGCUAACUCCGUGCCAGCAGCCGCGGUAAUACGGAGGGUGCAAGCGUUAAUCGGAAUUACUGGGCGUAAAGCGCACGCAGGCGGUCUGUCAAGUCGGAUGUGAAAUCCCCGGGCUCAACCUGGGAACUGCAUUCGAAACUGGCAGGCUAGAGUCUUGUAGAGGGGGGUAGAAUUCCAGGUGUAGCGGUGAAAUGCGUAGAGAUCUGGAGGAAUACCGGUGGCGAAGGCGGCCCCCUGGACAAAGACUGACGCUCAGGUGCGAAAGCGUGGGGAGCAAACAGG
Molecule: ribosomal RNA, 429 nt
Filed under: Chloroflexota bacterium
Lineage: Bacteria; Bacillati; Chloroflexota
Description: Chloroflexi bacterium partial 16S ribosomal RNA
Rfam family: Bacterial small subunit ribosomal RNA
Source: RNAcentral